GCAUGACCAAGGAUGAAGAAGUAUCUCAAACAUCAUCUAUUGCGGAUUUUCUUUUGAAAGUAAAGACAUAUUUAAUAGGUUUGGAACUUUGGACAGGCUAUCAGAAGAUAAUUGCCUAAAAUAUAUAUUUUCAUAAUGAUUUGGAAUAGUUAUUGAUAAGAGAAUUGGGGGAAUAAAUUAACUCACUGUAACAAAUUUUACCAUAAGAUUUUUAACUUAGGGCACAUACCUUAAUUAUUUAAUCCUCAAAGCUAUACAUUUGCCUUUAUUUGUUGCUUUUAGUAGUGUUUAAACAUGUUCAUUAUUCAUUUUUUAAUCUUUUAGGUCGGCAUGUAAAGGAUUAUUUAUUUUUUGAAAGAUAUAAUCAGUUCUUGUUUACUAUGCACAGAUUCCUAAUAUUUAAAAUUUGGAUUCAAAAGCAGAUUUCAAAUGAUGGUGAAAUGAGAUGAACAUCAUUACCCUAGAUUCAUACGUGACUGCACAUGUGGUGCAACCCUACAUUGUAUACAGCCAGAGAAAGGAAAAGUUGUGAUCCAUUUAUGUACAAUGAAUCAAAAUGCAUUCUCUUAUGUAUAACUAAUUAGAACAAAUAAACAACAACACCAAAAAGCACAUUUCAAAACAUCAUUGUUUCUCUGUAGUUUGCUAUUUUUCCUCAAGAGUCAUUUAAAUAAUGAUUUAGGUGAAAUGGUUUACUCUUUGUAAACUGGUAGAUAG
RNAcentral lists this long non-coding RNA (717 nucleotides) under Marmota monax (woodchuck). The record is from RNAcentral. Lineage: Eukaryota; Metazoa; Chordata; Mammalia; Rodentia; Sciuridae.